Molecule: long non-coding RNA, 755 nt
Filed under: Oryctolagus cuniculus (rabbit)
Lineage: Eukaryota; Metazoa; Chordata; Mammalia; Lagomorpha; Leporidae
Description: lncRNA (ENSOCUG00000039242.1)
Source: RNAcentral
UUACAGACAAAGAUCUGAUUGGUUCCACCUGGUAGACUAACAAGAUGGCCGACUGUACCCCGUUCCGGGUCUGACACUUUCUGACGUUUGACGUCUCCACCUCCAGUAGUUUUUAUUUUCUGAAAAUGAACCGUGUUCCCGUCUCGGGGGCGUGUAGACCCGACAGGCCGAGAGGACCGUCACGACAGACGCCCGGCACAGUGCCGCCUGCUCCGUCUGGCUUCUCCCUGGUGACCGUGUGCCGAGUUCACGGUGUCUGUGUGCUGACGCUCCUCUGGCCCUUUAACACGGAGCCAACUAGUCCUGGAGUGCACGCUCGGCUCUGCUAGCAGAGUGAGGAGUAUUAAUACUGAGUCACCUUUGACCCCUGCCAGAGUAUUAGUGCUGAGUCACGGCUCUCCUAGCAGAGUAUUAUUAAUGCUAAGUCAGCUUUGACCCCUGCCAGAGUAUUAAUGCCGAGUCACAGCUCUGAUAGCAGAGUUAGUAUUAAUACUGAGCCACCUUUGACCCCUGCCAGAGUAUUAAUGCUGAGUCACGGCUCUGCUAGCAGAGUGAGUAUUAAUGCUGAGUCACCUUUGACCCCUGCCAGAGUAUUAAUACUGAGUCACGGCUCUGCUAGCAGAGUGCACGUCCUCACGAUUCUGUCCGCUAACUGGGCUUCCCUGCAGGCCGCCCGCGACCUCCCAGCAAAGCGGGACCAGGAGCUGCAGGACGUCCGCUCUCCGUCCACACAGCAGCCCCACACUCACCCGUAG